AGUGAACGCUGGCGGUAGGCCUAACACAUGCAAGUCGAACGGCAGCACAGUAAGAGCUUGCUCUUACGGGUGGCGAGUGGCGGACGGGUGAGGAAUACAUCGGAAUCUACUUUUUCGUGGGGGAUAACGUAGGGAAACUUACGCUAAUACCGCAUACGACCUACGGGUGAAAGCAGGGGAUCUUCGGACCUUGCGCGAUUGAAUGAGCCGAUGUCGGAUUAGCUAGUUGGCGGGGUAAAGGCCCACCAAGGCGACGAUCCGUAGCUGGUCUGAGAGGAUGAUCAGCCACACUGGAACUGAGGCACGGUCCAGACUCCUACGGGAGGCAGCAGUGGCGAAUAUUGGACAAUGGGCGCAAGCCUGAUCCAGCCAUACCGCGUGGGUGAAGAAGGCCUUCGGGUUGUAAAGCCCUUUUGUUGGGAAAGAAAAGCAGCAGGUUAAUACCCCGCUGUUCUGACGGUACCCAAAGAAUAAGCACCGGCUAACUUCGUG
RNAcentral lists this ribosomal RNA (492 nucleotides) under uncultured bacterium. Its description in RNAcentral is "partial 16S ribosomal RNA". It matches the Rfam family "Bacterial small subunit ribosomal RNA", at positions 29 to 507 of the family's 1533-position model. The record is from RNAcentral.